Long non-coding RNA from Engraulis encrasicolus (European anchovy), 344 nucleotides. RefSeq lists it as uncharacterized. The transcript has 3 exons. The record is from RefSeq and is a predicted model, not a curated record. NCBI's taxonomy places the organism in Eukaryota, Metazoa, Chordata, Actinopteri, Clupeiformes, Engraulidae.
GAUGUGUAUAGAAGACUAGAUACGUCACAGUAUAUUCCACCGCGUCCGCACAGGUCGGCCAUAUUGCCACAGCCAACUGUCAACAGAAUCCACGUUACACCAAAUGUAAUCUGAGGACAUCAAACUACCAGCACAUCACAGCCCUGUCCAGUCCAAGGGCUGCAGAGCAGAGCCCAGCCCAGCCCAGCCCCACACAAGAACAAGACAGGACACUGAGGACAGGACAGCCCAGCCCAGCCCAGCCCAGACCAGCUUAAUCAUCCGUCCUACCCCCUGAAAGGACAUUGAUCUACCAGCCCUGCCCAAUCCAGCACAGCACAGCAGCUGCCCAGCCCAGUCCAGUC